This 424-nucleotide ribosomal RNA is filed under the name uncultured bacterium. RNAcentral's name for it is "bacterial SSU rRNA". It matches the Rfam family "Bacterial small subunit ribosomal RNA", at positions 954 to 1386 of the family's 1533-position model. The record is from RNAcentral.
UGGGAACGCGAAGAACCUUACCUAGACUUGACAUCUCCUGAAUUACCCUUAAUCGGGAAGCCUUCGGGCGAGAAGACAGUGGUGCAUGGUUGUCGUCAGCUCGUGUCGUGAGAUGUUGGGUUAAGUCCCGCAACGAGCGCAACCCUUAUUGUUAGUUGUCUACCAUUUAGUUGAGCACUCUAGCGAGACUGCCCGGGUUAACCGGGAGGAAGGUGGGAUGACGUCAAAUCAUCAUGCCCCUUAUGUCUAGGGCUACACACGUGCUACAAUGGCUGGUACAGAGAGAUGCUAAACCGUGAGGUGGAGCCAAAACUUUAAACCAGUCUCAGUUCGGAUUGUAGGCUGAAACUCGCCUACAUGAAGCUGGAGUUGCUAGUAAUCGCGAAUCAGAAUGUCGCGAUGAAUACGUUCCCGGGUCUUGUAC